Small nucleolar RNA from Mus pahari (shrew mouse), 134 nucleotides. RefSeq annotates it as small nucleolar RNA SNORA1. The transcript has a single exon. NCBI's taxonomy places the organism in Eukaryota, Metazoa, Chordata, Mammalia, Rodentia, Muridae. The record is from RefSeq and is a predicted model, not a curated record.
AGUUCCAUACCAGGUAGUGAGGGCUGAGUUUUCUAUUUCAAAGUUAUAUAGACAAUGUGGCUAAAUUGAGAUACAGGUCAAGCUUCCAUCGCAGCCGAUAAAUUACAGUGGUGACAAUGAGACCUGUAACAUUU